Raphanus sativus (radish) is the source of this 1539-nucleotide long non-coding RNA. RefSeq lists it as uncharacterized. The record is from RefSeq and is a predicted model, not a curated record. The transcript is spliced from 6 exons. Lineage: Eukaryota; Viridiplantae; Streptophyta; Magnoliopsida; Brassicales; Brassicaceae.
UUUUGAAAAAUCAAUUGUCUGAUUGGUUUCCUCUUCCUCUUCUUCGUUUCCUCCGUUUACCAAUCUCUUCCCUCCUCACUCCUUUAGACCUGCAUAAAGAUUUAGUCUGUCUGAGGUCCUUUAGAAAUCGUUUGGAUUAUAACCUUUCACUUUCUUACCCACGAUGGAAAAUCAAAAGCUUAACUUUUAUUCAUAAAACCCCACAAGAGUAAAUCCCGUUUCAGUUGAAAUUAGCAAACGAAUUCACUAAUCUCUUCAGAUUCCCUCGAAGAUUCCAAAAACCUGUGGGGUGAAGCAACCAUAUAUCUCUUCUUCGUUUCUAUGUUUCUGACCAGGGCGAGUUUAACUGAGAAAUUGAUUCUUACUUCCUCCUUCCCGAACUCUCUUAUGCAAGCUUCCAUUUAAUCAGAUAUUGUAAUCGAGAAUCAGGAGAACACAAUCAACGAAAUCAAGCCUAAGAAGAGAAGAAACAUGGUUAGACUGGAGUGUGUCUGGCCAAACUGCACUAGCGGGAGAACAAGUUGAAUUUCAACAGAAGUUACAUGAUCAGGAUGAAAUUCAUCGCUUUCUCCUUUUCAAGCAUUAGGAAACGGAUUAGAUGCAAAGCGAAUCUUGGUCUGUAAGCAUCUGUUCUUACCGAGUCCUUGAUUUUUAAUGAGGAUUGUGGAAGCGUUUUGUAGUUGUUUAACCCUCUCCCUUACUCUUUCGUGCUGCUCUCUUCUUUGACCACAGUUUCAUGGAUACCAAAAUGGACUUCAAAGGCCAUGCAUGAUGACGCUGAGCCUCCUUAUAAGGAGAAUAUCAAUGAGUUGAUCGAGAAUGCAUGGCACUAUCAAGGAAAGAUGACGACAACGACGGGAUACAGCGUGAAAUACAUAAUGCUGAAGUUGCUCAUUCCAAAGCUGUAGCCAAAUGUUUUGAAAACCCAUUGUUCUCUCAUCGAUCACAGCCAACUGAGUUUCUCAGUACUAGCAAGGUGAUCAGGAUUCAAACUGAUAAUGGAUGGUGUUAUAUUUCAUGCUAAAAAUGUUCGAAGAAGCUAUAGUGAUGGGCAUGUGAUGAUUCCAACGGUGUCGUCAGGUUACAAACAUAUUACCGAACUUCUUCUCAAAUUACUUAGUUAUUAAAUUCACCAAAAGUGAAGUAGAUGAGAGUAAACUUAAUUUAUUCUUUUCUUUCCAGGUUUCUACUAAUCAAAGAGAGAGAUUUGCAAUGUUCGUGGAGAGGCUUGAUCAGUCUAGCGGCAAAAUCAGAGUAGAAGAACCAUGAUGGAGACGGAAGAUCUUGGUGUCUCAGUUCUUCAAGAUCUUGGUGUCUCAGUUCUUCAAGAUCUGAUAAUGAUCCCGCUGACAAAUACCAUCUCUUUCGAUUGUAUGACUUAUUCUUUCGGGUAAGUGGAGGUGGAUUGUCUUUAUUACUUCUGAUCAUCUCUUAAGAUGUUUCUAGAAGCUGUUGUAUAGAAAUUUUUUGUUGACGAGAUUCAGUGUAGAAUGUGUAACCUGGGACUGCGUCUUGAUGCUUCUAAUGCAAUUAAUUUAA